AGAGAGAGAGAGAGAGAGAGAGACACAGACAGAACACACAACACGUCAUUUUUGGUUCUGCUUGUUAGCCAACAUGGUGAGCUAAUUCUACCCAGAAGGUUUAACAACUGGAACACUUUGGUCCUUUUUCUGUUUCUUGCUCUGUGUGGCAGCUCUGGGGCAGUGCUGACUCUCAAGUGCGUACAAACCCUGUUCCCUUUAUCCGCAGCCUUUUAGAGGCUCAGUGCAGACCAGUUGUCUCUGAAUACACUGAAAACUUGAGUACGCAGCUGUUUGUAUUUUGAUUGUUCAUAUUUUGGGAGGGGCUUGGGAACAUUUUUUUUGACUUGCAGCAAAAAUAUUCCCAAUCCCUGCUGGUUUUUGUUCAAACUGUGUUGAGAUAGGGCUGAACUGGCUGAAACAGUAGUAUCAAGACAAACACGAAGCAGGUUUCUUUUGGACCUUAACCAUGAAAACAGUGAUUGUAGAAUUGUAAACCAAAACCUUCAGCAGUCUGCCACCUGAACUGUUACUACGCUUUUAUUCUAACAUCAAAUAUUAUUACUGUGUGAUGCUGUUCUUACAGGGAGGAAAUGUUUCUAUUUAUGACUUCAGUGUCCUAUUGCUUUGAAAAUAAUUAAGAUUUGUACACUAAGCAAGAAGGCCUAGUCUGUUACUUUUCCACUGUCAGUGUCUGUGUAUGGAUAAGGAAAAAAUGCUAAUGAAUGCUAUCAAUCAAUUAUGAUAAAUAAAUAUAGUGUCGUUUGGUUUGUGGUUUGUUAUUGUAAGAGAGACAGAGAGUAGGCAAGAAAGUCUAAGGCAGAAUGAUCUGUUUAAUUUAAUUAAGUUCAAGUGUGGGAAGGGCAGAUACUGAUACAGGAAAUUGGUACUUAUGAGGAAGAGGAGAAGAAAAGUUUGGGGAUAAAGGCUCUAUUGUUUGCACUUGUCCAGAGGGAGAGCUGUGGAGGGGAAACUGUAGGUCUGGAAGGUUUAAGCUCUUUGACCCAGGAGAGGCUGAAAGGAAACUGGACCAAAUCCCAAUGAGACCCUGAUUGAUCUCUCUCUUAAAUCAAUGUACAUAUAUGUCUUGAAUUGCAAGAUUAGGUGCAUACUCUUUUAUUUCCACCAGGAAUAUGUUUUCAGUGUGAGUUAGUCUUUAAGAGUUUUUUCAGAGAUUAAGAAAUUGGCAUAAACGGUGUUACAAACUCAUCUAACACACACCCAAGAGUUUGAACUUUCAGCAGGAGAACAGAUGGGAGGUGAUUUUAGGUUUUGUACUGUAAUUGAUGACUUUUAAAAAAUGUGUCCGACAGAUGUUUGCAACUUACAUCAGUUUAGCUCGUGUGUGUAAAAUGUAAUGACCUCCAUCUUCUCAGGCUGGAAGACAGACUGACACAGACUCACACACACACACAGAUGCAGAUGUUUGACCUUUGAUCACAAGAAUGUACAGCGGAGAUAAGUUCACUUUUCAAAGUGGAGCGAUAUCGUUUCAGGCUGAGCUGGCUGCGUCUUUUAAUCUCAAACUUUUAGAUUGUACAGAAUGUCUGUAUGUGUGCAUAUCUUUCUUUGAACUGUGCAUUGUAGCUCAGCAGCAUAAGCCUGCUGUAAACUGUCCCCACACAGCUGUCAAAAUAAUGCCUUGGUACAAAUGCACGAUUAUUUUCCAAUCACUUUUUAGGAAAGCAUCUGGCCAAUUUUUGAUAAACGUCACAAAUGAAUCACGGGGCAGGAAUGAGGCUUAGAGCCAAAAUCUGUCCCGCCUGGAAAAACAUAUCUGAACUUUUUUCUGACAGUGUUCACUGGCACUGCCCUUCCUUUUCCCUCUCUGCCUUUCAGAGCCUCCCAGGCCCUCGCUCAAAACCACAACCAGCCCUUCUCCCCCCUAGUGCCGCUGCUGUCUUGACCGGUAUUCUGGCAAACAACUAAAGACCCAAAGUCAGAGAUGCCUGACUCAUUGAUGGAGUUUGUCCAGUUGUCAUGAAAAUGUUGAAUUAUAAUUCUGUAACCACACGACAAAUCGACUUUCGAUGCAGCCACUCAUUGGAUUUAAUGGUGAAUUCAUCUUCUCAACUGCCGUUUCCAAGCAGCAGCUCUCCCCUCUCACUGAUGGAUAAAGCUGGAAUCAAGGUGAGCGUGCAGGAGCGGAGAAAAACGUCAGAGUGAAAGUGUGUGGCAGCUCACUGGAGGACAGAGUACCACUUUGUAUGGCACAGCGUUUCUAUAGAAACACACCAGCAUGGCCCAGCUGUGCCAGUGCCAGGAUCCCCUGUCAGUCGACAAACGGACACUCACACUGCUCUUGCUGCUUCUGUUUCACGCACGAACACACUCCUGCCUGUUCUUAUCUUAUUGAUCAUGCCUCAUCCAAAAAAAGCCCCCCUGGAAACAAAAAAUAAAG
This is a long non-coding RNA of Seriola aureovittata, 2380 nucleotides long. RefSeq lists it as uncharacterized. The transcript has 3 exons. The record is from RefSeq and is a predicted model, not a curated record. NCBI's taxonomy places the organism in Eukaryota, Metazoa, Chordata, Actinopteri, Carangiformes, Carangidae.